RNAcentral lists this transfer RNA (66 nucleotides) under Marmota monax (woodchuck). RNAcentral's name for it is "tRNA.Val". It matches the Rfam family "tRNA". From Rfam's summary of the family: Transfer RNA (tRNA) molecules are approximately 80 nucleotides in length. Their secondary structure includes four short double-helical elements and three loops (D, anti-codon, and T loops). Further hydrogen bonds mediate the characteristic L-shaped molecular structure. tRNAs have two regions of fundamental functional importance: the anti-codon, which is responsible for specific mRNA codon recognition, and the 3' end, to which the tRNAs corresponding amino acid is attached (by aminoacyl-tRNA synthetases). tRNAs cope with the degeneracy of the genetic code in two manners: having more than one tRNA (with a specific anti-codon) for a particular amino acid; and 'wobble' base-pairing, i.e. permitting non-standard base-pairing at the 3rd anti-codon position. The record is from RNAcentral. Lineage: Eukaryota; Metazoa; Chordata; Mammalia; Rodentia; Sciuridae.
GGGAUUGUGGCUCAGUGGUAGAGUGCUUGCCUAACAUGCAUGAGGCCCAGUUCGAUCCCCAUCACC